This 496-nucleotide ribosomal RNA is filed under the name uncultured bacterium. Its description in RNAcentral is "partial 16S ribosomal RNA". It matches the Rfam family "Bacterial small subunit ribosomal RNA", at positions 29 to 523 of the family's 1533-position model. The record is from RNAcentral.
AUUGAACGCUGGCGGCAUGCCUAACACAUGCAAGUCGCACGCGAAAGGGGGCAACCCUGAGUAGAGUGGCGGACGGGUGAGUAACGCGUAGGAAUCUACCUGGUAGUGGGGGACAACCCGGUGAAAACCGGGCUAAUACCGCAUACGAUCCACGGAUGAAAGCAGGGGACCGCAAGGCCUUGCGCUAUCAGAUGAGCCUGCGUCGGAUUAGCUAGUUGGUGGGGUAAAGGCCCACCAAGGCGACGAUCCGUAGCUGGUUUGAGAGAACGACCAGCCACACUGGGACUGAGCCACGGCCCAGACUCCUACGGGAGGCGGCAGUGGGGAAUAUUGGACAAUGGGGGCAACCCUGAUCCGGCAAUGCCGCGUGUGUGAAGAAGGCCUUCGGGUUGUAAAGCACUUUCGGUGGGGACAAACAAGGUGGAGCUAACAUCUCCGCCUCUGAUGGUACCCAAAGAAGAAGCACCGGCUAACUCUGUGCCAGCCGCCGCCGUAA